This 495-nucleotide ribosomal RNA is filed under the name uncultured bacterium. RNAcentral's name for it is "partial 16S ribosomal RNA". It matches the Rfam family "Bacterial small subunit ribosomal RNA", at positions 28 to 507 of the family's 1533-position model. The record is from RNAcentral.
GAUGAACGCUGGCGGCGUGCCUAAUACAUGCCAGUAGAACGCUGAAGGAGGAGCUUGCUCUUCGGGAUGAAUUGCGAACGGGUGAGUAACGCGGAGGUAACCUGCCUGGUAGCGGGGGAUAACUAUUGGAAACGAUAGCUAAUAACGCAUGACAACAGUUAUUGCAUGAUAACUGUUUAAAAGGGGCAACUGCUCCACUACCAGAUGGACCUGCGUUGUAUUAGCUAGUUGGUGAGGUAACGGCUCACCAAGGCGACGAUACAUAGCCGACCUGAGAGGGUGAUCGGCCACACUGGGACUGAGACACGGCCCAGACUCCUACGGGAGGCAGCAGUAGGGAGUCUUCGGCAAUGGACGGAAGUCUGACCGAGCAACGACGCGUGAGUGAAGAAGGUUUUCGGAUCGUAAAGCUCUGUUGUAAGAGAAGAACGAGUGUGAGAGUGGAAAGUUCACACUGUGACGGUAUCUUACCAGAAAGGGACGGCUAACUACGUG